Molecule: non-coding RNA, 343 nt
Organism: Veillonellaceae bacterium DNF00626
Lineage: Bacteria; Bacillati; Bacillota; Negativicutes; Veillonellales; Veillonellaceae
Rfam family: transfer-messenger RNA
About the family: Bacterial tmRNA, also known as 10Sa RNA or SsrA, is named for its dual tRNA and mRNA-like properties.
Source: Rfam
GGGGAUGCACCGGUUUCGACAGGAGAAUUUGUGUCAUAAAUAGCGAGUCGGGAUUCCAUUUACCCGUUAAACGGUGGACAAACAUAAACGCAAAACAAGAUUUUGCUUUAGCAGCCUAAUCUGCUAAUGUCCCCUGACGUUUUCCUAUGACGUCAGGCUGACAUCAACCAAUAGGAUACUUGCUUUGGGCGUUCGGGACAAAGUAGGGAAAAUAAUUCCGAAAUCGGUAAAGGUAGUUUGCUCUUGUACGGUACUUUACUUAAAUUUCAAACAAUAGCUGCACUCGGAGAAGUUUAUGUGACAAUCUUUUUGGACAGGGGUUCGACUCCCCUCAUCUCCACCA